CUGUUUGCCCUUUCUGAGUCUCUAAAUCCUCACUUGCAUGAUGAGAAUAGUCACAUAUAUAGCAUGGUGAAUGGUCCAGAGUGCUGGUUCAAGAAAGAGGAGUUUCUAUUCCUUUUGACUAGACACUACCUUGAACUGUGCCCAGCUCUGACUUGUAAUCCAGUCAGAUCUCCUCCGGAAAGUGAAAACUGCCAAGAUCGGUAUAAGCAGCUGCUUUUCCACUGCAUCUGCGGGCUGACAUUCCUGAGAAGGUUCUCCACUGCAAAGACGAUGAGCAGGCCUGGGGUCACAUGCCCCCCAAACCGGGGUUCCACCUCUAUCACUACCUGAUCCUCUCUGGACCAGUUCAAGUGUUGCCUUCUCAGAAGGAUGUUCCUAGCCCUCAAGACAACGGAUGAUGCUCCUUCCUUGGUGUUCCCUUAUCUGUUGUACCACAACAGUGGUUAAACAAACAACAGCCAACAUUAAAUAAACACUAUUCUACUUUACAUGUACUAAUGUGUUUAGUUCUUACAAAAGAAAUUAUGAGCUAAUAUAUCUAUGAUGCAGAUAUCACUUAUCUUUUUUUUUUUUUUUGCUAUUUAGGGCUGCACCCGCGGCAUAUGGAAGUUCCCAAGCUAGGGGUUGAAUCACAGCCACAGCUGCCAGCCUACACCGUAGCCACAGCAACGCAGGAACUGAGCCACAUCUGUGACCUACACCAUAGCUCACGGCAACGCCAGGUCCUUAACCCACUGAGUGAAGUGGGGGAUUGAACCUGCAUCCUCAUGGGUUCUAGUUGGGUUCGAUAACCACUGAGCCAUGAAGGGAACUCGAUAUCAUUUAUCUUUUACAGACGAGGGCUCUGAAGCACAGAGAAAGUAAGUAACUUAGGCAAAUGGCAGAACUAAGAUGUGAGCCCAAGCCAAGGCCCCUCGGUAUUUGCCAUUACAUCUAGUGCUAACUUUUUCUUCUCUUUUUCCUUUUCUUUUUAGGGCUGCACCUGCCACAUAUGGAGGUUCCCAGGCUAGGGGUUGAAUUGGAGCUACAGCUGCCAGCCUAGGCCACAGCCAUAGCAAUGCUAGGUCCAAGCUGCAUCUGAGGCAACUUGAGGCAACGCUGGAUCCUUUACCCACUGAUCAGGCCUAGUGAUGGACGCCGCAUCCUCAUGGAUACUAGUUGGGUUCACUACCACUGAGCCACAAGGGAACUCCAAUACUGACUUUUUCAUAACUGUAUCUGUCUAUGUCCUCUUCCUCUCCACCUGGCUAGAACUCCAAAGGCUCCAAGAUGUCUUUAAUUCUCCUUUGCCCUGCUACCAUUUAGGGUGGUCCCUGUUACAGGGAAGCCACCUGGUGAUGAGCCUCGACUCGAAAAACAUUAAAUAGGGAGCCUCAUCGCCUAGAGGAAUCAAGGCCAGACACACGCCUUUUCCAGAUCUAGCCCACGGUCAUCUGUCAGGCCAGUUAACAUAGCCCACUCUACCUCCAGCAGCGGAGGAGAGGAGAAAAUGCAUCCUGACAUCACAGGAAGGACCCAAGUAAAAGGUGCACUAAUGGGGGUAAAAACACGUCAGCAGAGUGAUUCAUUUGGCCUCCCCUUCGAUAUUAUGUUUAUACAAGUUGAUUAUAUAGCACUUAAUUACUAAUUUGCUCUACUUAAACCAAGAGUGCUUUUAAUUUUUAAUGAGAUAAGGGAAGAAGAUGCCUUUACUUAGUCAGGAGCAGCUAUUUUAUUUCCUUCUCUUGUUUUGCACAGCCAAUUAAUAACAUUUCUAAGGAAAUGUAUCCCUCUCAUGAAUUCUUUCUUCCAUUUCCUUCUAGACCUCCCAGCUUUAGAAAGAAAUAGAAACAGACAAGGGCCCCUUAGAAACAAACUGAUUUCACCUUCUGAUCUGGCUGGCUGUGCUGGGAAAGGCCUGCGAAAGCCAAGUAACAUGGAAUCCAUAAAAUGUGCCAUCUGAUUUUUGGGGGAGUUGGGGGUGUGUCUAUUCCCAGAAACCAUGACUUGGUUGUUGUUACCAACACCAGAGAACACAGCCAUGGGUCUCCCCUCAAGGCAAUCCCUUUCGAACCCUGCACUGUUUCCCGGGUAUUCAUGCCAGAUCAUUUUAAGCAUGGCUGGGCCAGCCUCUAAGAAGAGGAGAGACGUUGGAGUCAGCUCUGGAUCUGAUUGCCCGCCUUGCUACUCUUUUUUUUUCUUUCCCUGUUAGAUGAUGAAUGUGCUAUUUAAACUUCCUACACCUCAACUUCCUAACUGUAAAGGUGAAGUGAAUAACCUACCUUGCAUGGAUUAAAUGUCACCUCCAAUACCUUAGUACAGUGCCCAGCUCAGGAGAGGCACAGACAGUUCUCUGGCCUUCAGAUGACAUUAAGGCGGGGGAAAUGAAGUCAGGGAGAAGGGGUCCCUUUUGAACAUGUUAACCUGUGUGUCACCCACAGAGCUGUGGAGUCUAGGUCCGUGCUGCACGAAGGGCCCAUCCAUAAUGACCUAAGGAGUUGCUCCAGAAAGAAAACAAACACGCGGAUUCUUUUCUUUAAGAACAUCUUGCUAGGAACAAAAUGUAAGACAUUUACAUUCUGAUGCAAGUCCCUGCUCUCACUGCAAAUCUAUAACAAACCAGCCACAGAUUGGCCUCUGGUCCACAGACAGACCUGCACAGCCUAGUCUGGAUGACUGUGUAGGAUGCCUGCAUUCACUCCUAAACAACUCCCCACCCUUCUUUGGGCCAAGUCAGGCCCACAUGCAUGGACCACACUAAUGAAUCCCCCGCCCUCUGACUUUGGCUCCAGCCAACAGGGGGCCUGAAAAUAAAUCAGAGAGAAGGAGGAGAAUGGGGUCAAUAAGACAACUCUUUGCUUCCAGGGUCACUGGCAGGCCAGCUGACUCAGUAGCCUCCACACAGCUCUCUGUUCCGGGGCUCAGGGGUUCCAAUGACUGUGCUCUUCCUCUGCCUCGUAAGGUCCAGUUGUCAUGAACCCCGGUGCACUACCAUCUUCCUUGUGCUUUCUCUAGGCCCUGGUCCACAAUCCAGUCCAAACUGUACUUCCACUGAACCUCUAAAACUAUCCUAACUUGAGGGCAAUUUCUGUGGGGGCCUUUACUAACACAGUGACAUUUUAAUGCACGUUCAAAUUCUAGUUGUCUAUCACUGGCACUGAAUUUUUAAAAAAAUAAUGGCAAUACACUCAGUUCCAGGAGAGUCCAUUUGAUUAAAUUUUCUCUCAUUGCAUCUUAUCAUACCAAGUGAAAUAAGAAGGAGAAAGACAACUACUAUAUGCUAUCACUUAUAUCUGGGAUCUAAAAUAUGGCACAAGUCGACCUAUCCACGAAACAGAAACAGAUUCACAGACAUAGAAAACAGACUUGUGGUCGCCAAGGGGAUGGAGGGUGGGGGAUGGAUGGAUGGGGAGUCUGGGGUUAGCAGAUGCAAACCAGUGUAUAUAGAAUGGAUAAAUGACAAGGUCUUACUGUACAGAACAGAGAACUAUAUUCAAUAUUCUGUGAUAAACCAUAAUGGAAAAGGAUAUUAAAAAUGUGUGUGUGUAUGUAUAUACAUAUAUAACAUAUACAUUAUAAUUAUAUAUACAUAAACUGAAGCACUUAGCUGUAUAGCAGGAAUUAACAUUGCAAAUCAACUAUACUUCAAUAAAAUUAAUAAAUAAAAUAAAAAUAUCAUGGAGAGUCCAUUUCCAUGUGUGACCAAGGUGAACAAUUCUCAGCUUUGAAAUCCUAGGCUAGGACUUGGAUUCUGGCUCCAGCCAUUUCUAGCCAUUGGCUUUGGUAAGUCACUGAAACUCUCCUACCCUGUUUUUUCAUUUAUAAAAUUAUGAUGCUAACAGUAUAGGAACUUUCUUUAUACAUAACUUUUAACGUGGACCAAAUUUUUAAAUGUUCAAAUUUCUUUGAUAUGCAUAUGAAUAGAAACAUGUCACUGAGGUGUCUGAAUUAUGGUUUAUCACAGAGUAUGAAACACCUUUGAUAAACUGUAAUAAUGAUAUUUUUCUUCUGCAUACUUCUUGAUCAUUUGUGUCAAUGUUGGAACUAAAAGUCUUUCAUGGACUCCAGUAAGACCUCUAUGCAUUCCAUGACUCUGAAUCAAACUUUGUCCAGUGGUAUAUGUGUGUGUGUGUGUAGUCAUUUUUCAGGGUUUUUUUCCCCAAUUACAGAAAAUUUCUGAUUUAACUAAAGGUCAGUCUCAAGCUUACCCUCAUCUCUAAUUUGUUUGUGUAAUCUCUUUUACUGUGUUGAAUAUUAAGUUUAUAGAGCAUGGAUCGUCUAUGCAUGAAUUAUCCUAGACUAAUGGGAAAAUAAACUCUAACCUAUUCAUUUCUGAUUUAUUCCAACAAGGACAUUUAUUAUGAAAAGUAAAAGGAUAAUUGAUAAUUUAGAAUGACAAAUUAAUUACUUAC
RNAcentral lists this long non-coding RNA (4391 nucleotides) under Sus scrofa (pig). RNAcentral's name for it is "lncRNA (ENSSSCG00005040733.1)". The record is from RNAcentral. Lineage: Eukaryota; Metazoa; Chordata; Mammalia; Artiodactyla; Suidae.